This 437-nucleotide ribosomal RNA is filed under the name uncultured Pseudorhodobacter sp. RNAcentral's name for it is "bacterial SSU rRNA". It matches the Rfam family "Bacterial small subunit ribosomal RNA", at positions 8 to 491 of the family's 1533-position model. The record is from RNAcentral. Lineage: Bacteria; Pseudomonadati; Pseudomonadota; Alphaproteobacteria; Rhodobacterales; Paracoccaceae.
AGAGUUUGAUCAUGGCUCAGAAUGAACGCUGGCGGCAGGCCUAACACAUGCAAGUCGAACGGGUCCUUCGGGACUAGUGGCGGACGGGUGAGUAACGCGUGGGAACAUACCCAAAGGUACGGAAUAGCCUCGGGAAACUGGGAGUAAUACCGUAUGUGCUCGAAAGAGGAAAGAUUUAUCGCCAAAGGAUUGGCCCGCGUUGGAUUAGGUAGUUGGUGGGGUAAUGGCCUACCAAGCCGACGAUCCAUAGCUGGUUUGAGAGGAUGAUCAGCCACACUGGGACUGAGACACGGCCCAGACUCCUACGGGAGGCAGCAGUGGGGAAUCUUAGACAAUGGGGGAAACCCUGAUCUAGCCAUGCCGCGUGAUCGAUGAAGGCCUUAGGGUUGUAAAGAUCUUUCAGAUGGGAAGAUAAUGACGGUACCAUCAGAAGAGCC